CCUAGUACAUCUGCCGGCCAAUUUCUCCUUUGUUCUAGUAUCGGCGAUUGUACCUCCUUCCCUCUCUUGGCGGACGACUAGAGUCGUCGUAAAACAGGAGCUUAAGAAGGAGGCUGAGGGAAACAGUAGUCCGGCAAUGGGAUUGAAGCUUCGGACAUAACUUCCAGCAGCAAGAUCUGUGGUUGUGAGUUGGCAGGAAGAUACUUAGAGUGAGUGAAGAAUUUCAGCAGCCAACAACCCUUGACGGCAGUAACUUCAGCCAACAACUUUUGGAUUUCAGUAUAAACCAGUGGCUUUGAAUCAAGGUAAGAAGUAGAGUAAUGGUUACGUGUUGAUGAGUUGGAUUCAUGUAUUGGAUUAGGAAAAUAUUGGAUUAAUUCAUGUUUAGGUAUAAUCUUGAUACCUACUGAUAAUUUAUUCAUCAUUAGGUUGUGUAGAAUAAUUAUGUUAUAUGGAUUUAGGUUUUUGGAUUUUUAUCAAAAAGGUUGUUUGGGGUUAAGGUAAUUAAUCCUAAUUAAUCGUUAGAAAGGUCGAAGGAAAUGGUUUAGGGUUUAUCCCUAAAUUUCUAUUUAGGAUUUAUUUAGCUGUUUAUUUGUAUUCUAGUUAAAUAAAAGUAAAGGUAUUUUUGGUAUUUCAGGACUUUGACGCGAGACGAGUA
Molecule: long non-coding RNA, 658 nt
Organism: Zingiber officinale
Lineage: Eukaryota; Viridiplantae; Streptophyta; Magnoliopsida; Zingiberales; Zingiberaceae
Exons: 3
Source: RefSeq, a predicted model, not a curated record